RNAcentral lists this unclassified non-coding RNA (1363 nucleotides) under Hevea brasiliensis (rubber tree). The record is from RNAcentral. Lineage: Eukaryota; Viridiplantae; Streptophyta; Magnoliopsida; Malpighiales; Euphorbiaceae.
GUAAAAUAUCAAAUAUUUACUAAAUUCCAGAAUCUCUCAUUAUUUUGAAAUGAGUUUAGCAUGCACAUUUUGUCAUUGUUUUUACAAAACAUCUCCAUUACUUCCACUGCGUAAUGGAUUCUUUCAUUCUCUUCGGCCCAUCUCCAUCAGACCAAUCAUAUCAUUGCUCCACUGAGUUGCUCGAGCUUCGAUCUCUGGCACCCUCACCAGCAUCAGCAACCUCUUCUUUCUUCACCCAAACCAUUCCACUAUGUCUCCCCUUCUGCUCUGCAGACUGAUUAAACCUCCUAAAACUUCCUCUGUGCUGCCCAUAACGGACACUCAGACCACCAUUAUAACCUCUAUACUCAUAAUACCUGCGAUUAAGAGUCCUAUUAUCAAUCCUAUUAUAACCUCUAUGAUCGCCAUAUCUGCGAUUAACAACCCUAUUUUGCGUAUCCGAUCUGUUACUCUCAUUUCUUAUAGAAAAAUCCUCAAGCUUUCGCUCAAUCUUCAGAGUACCCUCACUCUUCUCCGCCGCAUUCUCAACUUCCUUCACAUUUUUCAAUGUUCCACCACUCUUCUCCGCCUCUUUCUCAACUUCCUCCACAUUUUUCGCUAUUCCACCACUCUUCUCCGCCUCAUUCUCAACUUCCUCCACAUUUUUCACUAUUCGACCACUCUUCUUAACCGCACUAGUAAAUUUAGGCCUAUAAUCCAACCUCAUAUCCCUCGUUUUCUCAGGCCUCGUAACCGGGGUAUUCUCCUCGCUCUUAACAGGCGGCGCGCGUGGCUCGCGUACCUUUGGUUCUUCCUCUUCUUGUGCCCUAGCUUCUCCAUCAUCGAUCAGCUUCUCCUUCUUCUUUUCCUUCCCCUUCCUCUUCCAAUUCUUCUUUUUCUUAUUUCCCAAAUCAUUGUUCUUCGUCUCCUUCACAGUACUCUCACUCUCAUUUCCUUCAACAACAGCAGAAACCGCUGGAGCGUGGUUUUCCUCUGGACAACCACCGAAACCAGUUUCCGUCAAAUUGCGAUUUCUGCGCUCAUUACGGCGGUUGCGAUUGCGAUUGCUUCGACUCGAUCGGGCGUCUUUGAUUAGGUGAACUUGGGGGUUUGGGUCUUUUUCUUCAUUUUGCUGCUCCUCUUCCUGGUUUUGUUCUUCCUCUUUCUCCUUGAGCUUACGCUGCUGCUCUUUAAUCCAGCGUUCUUGAAGUUGUUGGAGAGUGACGUAAUUAGAUGGAAUAUUUGAGGGCCUUGUCUUGUCCUCCAUUGAUGAAGCGCAUAGAGAGAGUUUGGAGGAGGAGACUGAAAUCACAGGUGCUAUUUUGGGGGCACAAGCAAAGUCACGACUCACGGGUCCACAAUUUCCUUUCCACGGAAGGCGUUG